ACGACGGGCUCCGGGCACUUGUUGUCUGAGUAGCUUGUCGUUGCCAUCCUUGGGUGGAAUCUGUGUGGCAUUUUGUUGUCGUGCAGGGGAUGCCCAUCUUUUACUGUGAAAAAAUUAAAGUGUUCAAAGCAGGCUUAUGCCGUUGAAUAUAUUAGCAUGGAAUAAUAAUAUAGGACUUUGUCGCUAUUUUGUUGGUUUGCGCGAUAAGGUAAUGAUUAAUAGGGACAGUUGGGGGUAUUCGUAUUCCAUUGUCAGAGGUGAAAUUCUUGGAUUUCUGGAAGACGAACUACUGCGAAAGCAUUUACCAAGGAUGUUUUCAUUAAUCAAGAACGAAAGUUAGGGGAUCGAAGAUGAUUAGAUACCAUCGUAGUCUUAACCAUAAACUAUGCCGACAAGGGAUUGGUGGA
RNAcentral lists this ribosomal RNA (407 nucleotides) under Navicula gregaria. Its description in RNAcentral is "SSU rRNA". It matches the Rfam family "Eukaryotic small subunit ribosomal RNA", at positions 652 to 1060 of the family's 1831-position model. The record is from RNAcentral. Lineage: Eukaryota; Bacillariophyta; Bacillariophyceae; Naviculales; Naviculaceae.